RNAcentral lists this ribosomal RNA (254 nucleotides) under uncultured bacterium. Its description in RNAcentral is "partial 16S ribosomal RNA". It matches the Rfam family "Bacterial small subunit ribosomal RNA", at positions 524 to 776 of the family's 1533-position model. The record is from RNAcentral.
UACGUAGGGCCCGAGCGUUGUCCGGAUUUAUUGGGCGUAAAGAGCUCGUAGGCGGCUCAGUAAGUCAGAUGUGAAAACUCAGGGCUCAACCCGGAGACGCCAUCUGAUACUGCUGUGGCUUGAGUCUGGUAGGGGAUCACGGAAUUCCUGGUGUAGCGGUGAAAUGCGCAGAUAUCAGGAGGAACACCGAUGGCGAAGGCAGUGAUCUGGGCCAGUACUGACGCUGAGGAGCGAAAGCGUGGGUAGCAAACAGG